UACGGAAGGGGCAAGCGUUGUUCGGAAUUAUUGGGCGUAAAGGGCGCGUAGGUGGUUCUGUAUGUCUACCGUGAAAGCGUACGGCUCAACCGUAUUUUGUCGGUGGAAACUGCAGGACUUGAGGCUGGGAGGGGCUGGUGGAAUUCCCUGUGUAGCGGUGAAAUGCGUAGAGAUGGGGGAGAACACUCGUGGCGAAGGCGGCCAGCUAGACCAGUUCUGACACUGAGGCGCGACAGCGUGGGGAGCAAACAGA
This 253-nucleotide ribosomal RNA is filed under the name uncultured bacterium. RNAcentral's name for it is "partial 16S ribosomal RNA". It matches the Rfam family "Bacterial small subunit ribosomal RNA", at positions 524 to 776 of the family's 1533-position model. The record is from RNAcentral.